CUCAAUUUUUUAAUUUAGUUCUGGUGCUCGCUUCGGUACAGAGAAGAUUAGCACGGUCCCUGCUCAAGGAUGACACGCAAAUUCGUGAAGCAUUCCAUAUUUAA
Molecule: small nuclear RNA, 104 nt
Organism: Suncus etruscus (white-toothed pygmy shrew)
Lineage: Eukaryota; Metazoa; Chordata; Mammalia; Eulipotyphla; Soricidae
Source: RefSeq, a predicted model, not a curated record